This 358-nucleotide unclassified non-coding RNA is filed under the name soil metagenome. RNAcentral describes it as "partial contains 5.8S ribosomal RNA, internal transcribed spacer 2, and large subunit ribosomal RNA". The stretch from base 1 to 120 matches the Rfam family "5.8S ribosomal RNA", at positions 35 to 154 of the family's 154-position model. The record is from RNAcentral.
GAUGAAGAACGCAGCGAAAUGCGAUAAGUAAUGUGAAUUGCAGAAUUCAGUGAAUCAUCGAAUCUUUGAACGCACAUUGCGCCCGUCAGUAUUCUGGCGGGCAUGCCUGUUCGAGCGUCAUUACGCCCCUCAAGUCCACUGUGGACUUGGUGUUGGGGAUCGGCGAGGCUGGUUUUCCAGCACAGCCGUCCCUUAAAUUAAUUGGCGGUCUCGCCGUGGCCCUCCUCUGCGCAGUAGUAAAACACUCGCAACAGGAGCCCGGCGCGGUCCACUGCCGUAAAACCCCCCAACUUUUUAUAGUUGACCUCGAAUCAGGUAGGACUACCCGCUGAACUUAAGCAUAUCAAUAAGCGGAGGA